This 339-nucleotide unclassified non-coding RNA is filed under the name Hevea brasiliensis (rubber tree). Lineage: Eukaryota; Viridiplantae; Streptophyta; Magnoliopsida; Malpighiales; Euphorbiaceae. The record is from RNAcentral.
GCCACAUCUAGUUCAUCUAGAGAAAACUCGGACAGGUGAAGACGUUUAAGAGAGUUAAGAGCAAAAGGGAGCAUUUUUGGUACUUCACCUGCAAAGAACCGGACACUAAAAUAAUCCAAGUGGAGAUGCUUGAGAGCAGGAAAAGACUCGAGCAACUUGGCGAUACCACAUUUUCCCGCCUUCCCAGAAUAUCCAGUAUCCACAAGUGAAAGCUUCUCAAGAAGAGGGACACCUUCUAAAGAAAGAAAGAUUAGCUUGCCAGUGAAGUCAAAGGAUUUCAACUUGGGAGCUCUAAUUUGAAUGUGAUUUGUGAUAGUUGAAUGCAGCACCAAAUGCUCG